Molecule: ribosomal RNA, 468 nt
Filed under: uncultured bacterium
Lineage: Bacteria
Description: partial 16S ribosomal RNA
Rfam family: Bacterial small subunit ribosomal RNA
Source: RNAcentral
GACGAACGCUGGCGGCGUGCUUAACACAUGCAAGUCGAACGGAAAGGCCCUGCUUUUGUGGGGUGCUCGAGUGGCGAACGGAUGAGUAACAAGUGAGUAACCUGCCCUUGACUUUGGGAUAACUUCAGGAAACUGGGGCUAAUACCGGAUAGGAGCUCCUGCUGAAUGGUGGGGGUUGGAAAGUUUCGGCGGUUGGGGAUGGACUCGCGGCUUAUCAGCUUGUUGGUGGGGUAGUGGCUUACCAAGGCUUUGACGGGUAGCCGGCCUGAGAGGGUGACCGGCCACAUUGGGACUGAGAUACGGCCCAGACUCCUACGGGAGGCAGCAGUGGGGAAUAUUGCACAAUGGGCGGAAGCCUGAUGCAGCAACGCCGCGUGCGGGAUGACGGCCUUCGGGUUGUAAACCGCUUUCGCCUGUGACGAAGCGUGAGUGACGGUAAUGUGUAAAGAAGCACCGGCUAACUACGUG